This 368-nucleotide ribosomal RNA is filed under the name uncultured organism. RNAcentral's name for it is "bacterial SSU rRNA". It matches the Rfam family "Bacterial small subunit ribosomal RNA", at positions 526 to 896 of the family's 1533-position model. The record is from RNAcentral.
CGAAGGAUGCAAGCGUUAUCCGGAUUCAUUGGGUUUAAAGGGAGCGUAGGCGGCCCUGUAAGUCAGUGGUGAAAUCUCUCGGCUUAACCGAGAAAUUGCCAUUGAUACUGCAGGGCUUGAGUACAGUUGCCGUUGGCGGAAUAUGACAUGUAGUGGUGAAAUACAUAGAGAUGUCAUAGAACACCGGUUGCGAAGGCAGCUAACGAAACUGUAACUGACGCUGAGGCUCGAAAGUGCGGGGAUCAAACAGGAUUAGAUACCCUGGUAGUCCGCACUGUAAACGAUGAUUACUCGCUGCUAGAGGGCAACUUUUAGUGGCUUAGCGAAAGCGAUAAGUAAUCCACCUGGGGAGUACGCCGGCAACGGUG